RNAcentral lists this ribosomal RNA (791 nucleotides) under Phaeodactylibacter sp. Its description in RNAcentral is "partial 23S ribosomal RNA". It matches the Rfam family "Bacterial large subunit ribosomal RNA", at positions 1 to 791 of the family's 2925-position model. Lineage: Bacteria; Pseudomonadati; Bacteroidota; Saprospiria; Saprospirales; Haliscomenobacteraceae. The record is from RNAcentral.
AGGAAGCGAAAUAAGGGCGCAUGGGGGAUGCCUGGGCUCUCAGAGACGACGAAGGACGUGGUAAGCUGCGAAAAGCUGCGGGGAGCUGCAAACGAGCGUUAUAUCCGCAGAUGUCCGAAUGGGGCAACCCGUACAGUUGAAGGCUGUACAUCCCUGCAAAGGGAAGGUAACCCGGGGAACUGAAACAUCUAAGUACCCGGAGGAGGAGAAAACAAUAGUGAUUCCGUAAGUAGUGGCGAGCGAAAGCGGAAGAGCCCAAACCAUGGCGGUACGCCGUCGUGGGGUAGUAGGACCGACGCAAUCUGAAAGGAGCGAAGUGGAAGUUCUUUGGAAAGAGACACCAAAGAGGGUGAAAGUCCCGUACACGUAAGCGAAUUUUGGAGGUUGGUAUCCUGAGUAGGGCGGGGCCGGAGGAACCCUGUCUGAAUUAGCCGGCACCAUCCGGUAAGGCUAAAUACUCCUGAGAGACCGAUAGUGAACCAGUACCGUGAGGGAAAGGUGAAAAGAACCCCAAGAAGGGGAGUGAAAAGAACCUGAAACCAUGCGCCUACAAGCGGUCGGAGCCCGGCACUUUUGCGAAAAAGUGCGGGGUGACGGCGUGCCUUUUGCAUAAUGAGCCUACGAGUUACCGUGACCGGCGAGUUUAAUCCCCUCAGGGGAGCAGGCGAAGCGAAAGCGAGUCUUAACAGGGCGCCGAGCCGGUUGUGGUAGACGCGAAACCGGGUGAUCUACCCAUGGGCAGGUUGAAGUUCCGAUAGUCUCGGGAUGGAGGACCGCACCAGUACAUGUUG